GGAGUUGCCCUUCAAGUACCCUCUCCUGUGUAAAGUGAUGCUACAGUCCAUCCUCUACCAUGAUGGCCUACUUGUGAUGUGGACCUUCCCACCACCGCCUUGUUACCAAAGAUACCAUCCAGGUUUCAUGGAGUAGCCCAUCCAAGUACCCUCUCUGGUGUAAAGUGAUGCUAAAGUACCCUUUCUACCAUGAUGACAUACUUGUGAUGUGGACCUUCCCACCACUGUGUUGUUACCAAAGAUACCAUCCAGGACAGUGGAGCCAAGACCCUCACUCCCGCUACCAUGCCGGCCCACCACAAGACCUUCAAUACCCAGACAUCCCUUAAAUGCCCACUUGUAAAUUACAUUUGCUAUAUUUUAAAG
This is a long non-coding RNA of Pseudophryne corroboree (corroboree frog), 366 nucleotides long. RefSeq lists it as uncharacterized. The record is from RefSeq and is a predicted model, not a curated record. NCBI's taxonomy places the organism in Eukaryota, Metazoa, Chordata, Amphibia, Anura, Myobatrachidae. The transcript is spliced from 3 exons.